AGAGGAGCGGCAGACGGGUGAGUAACGCGUGGGAACAUACCCUCCGGUUCGGAAUAACCCAGGGAAACUUGAGCUAAUACCGGAUACGGCUUAGCGGCGAAAGAUUUAUCGCCGGAGGAUUGGCCCGCGUCCGAUUAGCUAGUUGGUGUGGUAACGGCGCACCAAGGCGACGAUCGGUAGCUGGUCUGAGAGGAUGAUCAGCCACAUUGGGACUGAGACACGGCCCAAACUCCUACGGGAGGCAGCAGUGGGGAAUAUUGGACAAUGGGCGCAAGCCUGAUCCAGCCAUGCCGCGUGAGUGAUGACGGCCUUAGGGUUGUAAAGCUCUUUCGCCAGGGACGAUAAUGACGGUACCUGGAUAAGAAGCCCCGGCUAACUUCGUGCCAGCAGCCGCGGUAAUACGAAGGGGGCUAGCGUUG
This 419-nucleotide ribosomal RNA is filed under the name uncultured bacterium. RNAcentral's name for it is "bacterial SSU rRNA". It matches the Rfam family "Bacterial small subunit ribosomal RNA", at positions 89 to 543 of the family's 1533-position model. The record is from RNAcentral.